UGGGGGAUAUUGCACAAUGGGCGAAAGCCUGAUGCAGCGACGCCGCGUGGGGGAUGAAGGCCUUCGGGUUGUAAACUUCUUUUGCUCUGAACAAGGCAUGCCUUUGGGGUGUGUUGAGUGUAGGGGUUGAUUAGCGCCGGCUAACUACGUGCCAGCAGCCGCGGUAAUACGUAGGGCGCGAGCGUUGUCCGGAAUUAUUGGGCGUAAAGGGCUUGUAGGUGGCUGGUUGCGUCUGUCGUGAAAGCUCAUGGCUUAACUGUGGGUGUGCGGUGGGUACGGGCUGGCUUGAGUGCAGUAGGGGAGGCUGGAAUUCCUGGUGUAGCGGUGGAAUGCGCAGAUAUCAGGAGGAAUACCGGUGGCGAAGGCGGGUCUCUGGGCUGUUACUGACGCUGAGGAGCGAAAGCGUGGGGAGCGAACAGG
RNAcentral lists this ribosomal RNA (420 nucleotides) under Fusobacteriota bacterium. Its description in RNAcentral is "Fusobacteria bacterium partial 16S ribosomal RNA". It matches the Rfam family "Bacterial small subunit ribosomal RNA", at positions 355 to 776 of the family's 1533-position model. Lineage: Bacteria; Fusobacteriati; Fusobacteriota. The record is from RNAcentral.